This 496-nucleotide ribosomal RNA is filed under the name uncultured bacterium. RNAcentral's name for it is "bacterial SSU rRNA". It matches the Rfam family "Bacterial small subunit ribosomal RNA", at positions 18 to 518 of the family's 1533-position model. The record is from RNAcentral.
UAUGGCUCAGAUUGAAGCUGGCGGCAGGCUAAUACAUGCAAGUCGAACGGUAACAUGAGAAAGCUUGCUUCUUGAUGACGAGUGGCGGACGGGUGAGUAAUGCCUGGGAAGCUGCCUGAAUGAGGGGGACAACACCUGGAAACGGGUGCUAAUACCGCGUAUACCCUGAGGGGGAAAGACCGGAUACGGUCACAUUCAGAUGCGCCCAGGUGGGAUUAGCUAGUUGGUGGGGUAACGGCCUACCAAGGCGACGAUCUCUAGCUGGUCUGAGAGGAUGAUCAGCCACACUGGAACUGAGACACGGUCCAGACUCCUACGGGAGGCAGCAGUAGGGAAUAUUGCACAAUGGGGGGAACCCUGAUGCAGCCAUGCCGCGUGUGUGAAAGAAGGCCUUCGGGUUGUAAAGCACUUCAGUAUGAGAAGUACGCACCGUUAUAGUGCCUUGAUUGACGUUACAUACAGAAGAAGCACCGGCUAACUCCGUGCCAGCCGCGGC